RNAcentral lists this RNase P RNA (261 nucleotides) under Sphingomonadales bacterium. RNAcentral's name for it is "partial RNase P RNA component class A". It matches the Rfam family "Bacterial RNase P class A", at positions 1 to 259 of the family's 367-position model. Rfam says of the family: Ribonuclease P (RNase P) is a ubiquitous endoribonuclease, found in archaea, bacteria and eukarya as well as chloroplasts and mitochondria. The record is from RNAcentral. Lineage: Bacteria; Pseudomonadati; Pseudomonadota; Alphaproteobacteria; Sphingomonadales.
CCAGAGGGUUGGGCGGCCGCGUUGCACUUCGGUGUACCGAGGAAAGUCCGGGCUCCACGGAAAUACGGUGCCGGGUAACGCCCGGCGGGGGCGACCCCAGGGAAAGUGCCACAGAGAGCAGACCGCUCACUGGUUCUUCGGGACUAAGAGCAAGGGUGAAAGGGUGCGGCAAGAGCGCACCGCGCGACUGGUAACAGAAGCGGCAUGGCAAACCCCACCGGGAGCAAGACCGAAUAGGGACGGCACAUGAGGUGUUCCGCC